UUCAGAUGGAUGCAGUAUCCCUGCAGUGGUUGCAGUGCACCCUGCUGUGUCCCUGAAUGUGGAUGCUGUGAACAUGCAGUGGAUGCAGUGUCCCUGCAGUGCUUGCAGUGCCUCCCGCAUUGUCCGGGUAAUAUGGAUGCAGUAGUCAUGCAGUGGUUGCAACGUCCCACAAGGUGGAUGCAGUAUGUUGUGAUGGAGGAUGCAGGGCCCAUAAAGGUGGAUGCAGUGAUGAUGCUGUGGGUGCAGUGCCGCCUACAGUUCCCUCAAUGUGGAUACAGUACCCAUGCAGUUGUUGCUGUGUCCCACAAAGUGGAUGUCGUAUGUAGUGAUGGAAGAUGCAGUGCCCACGUAGGUGGAUGCAGUGAGCCUGAAGUGGUUGCAGUGCCCCCUGAAGUUUACCUGAAAGUGGAUGCAGUGGUCAUGCAAUGGAUGCAGUGUCCCUAAAGGUGGAUGCCUUAUGUUGUGAUGCAGGAUUUAGUGAUCAUGAAGGAGGAUGUAUUGAUCCUGCAGUCAUUUCAGUGCACCAGCAGUGCUACUUCAGCUGGCUGCAGUGUCCCUGCAGUUGGUGCAGUGCCCCGUCCUGUGUCUCUGAGUGUGGAUGCACUUCUCAUGCUGUGGAUGCAGAAUACCAAAAGUUGGCUGCCAUAUGUUGAGACAGAGGAUGCAGAGCCCUGGAGUUGGAUGCAGU
RNAcentral lists this long non-coding RNA (688 nucleotides) under Equus caballus (horse). RNAcentral's name for it is "lncRNA (ENSECAG00000048528.1)". Lineage: Eukaryota; Metazoa; Chordata; Mammalia; Perissodactyla; Equidae. The record is from RNAcentral.